GACGAACGCUGGCGGCGUGCUUAACACAUGCAAGUCGAGCGGAAAGGCCACUUCGGUGGUACUCGAGCGGCGAACGGGUGAGUAACACGUGAGUAAUCUGCCCCUGGCUUUGGGAUAGCCACCGGAAACGGUGAUUAAUACCGGAUACGACCACUUCUCGCAUGGGAUGGUGGUGGAAAGUUUUUUCGGCCAGGGAUGUGCUCGCGGCCUAUCAGCUUGAUGGUGAGGUAAUGGCUCACCAUGGCUUCGACGGGUAGCCGGCCUGAGAGGGUGACCGGUCACACUGGGACUGAGACACGGCCCAGAGUCCUACGGGAGGCAGCAGUGUGGAAUAUUGGACAAUGGGCGGAGGCCUGAUCCAGCAACGCCGCGUGAGGGAUGACGGCCUUCGGGUUGUAAACCUCUUUCAGCAGGGACGAAGCGCAAGUGACGGUACCUGCAGAAGAAGCACCGGCCAACUACGUGCCAGCCGCCGCGGUAA
RNAcentral lists this ribosomal RNA (481 nucleotides) under uncultured bacterium. RNAcentral's name for it is "partial 16S ribosomal RNA". It matches the Rfam family "Bacterial small subunit ribosomal RNA", at positions 28 to 523 of the family's 1533-position model. The record is from RNAcentral.